GAGAGAGGGAUUUAUAAUUUAUUACAUUUCUUUAAAAAUAAAUAAAAAAAAUUAUGCACUAAUUCUUUUUGCCCUCUUCACCACCAUCCUCCAAGUAGGCCUUCUUUCUUCUGUCAAAUUUAGCAAAUAAGCAAAUCACAAGAAAACACGUGGCGUAAAUCCCAUGAACCUUCCAAGUAGCCUUGGGUGGCUGGUGCAAGACCACCCUGUGGAACACUGCUACGUAGAAAUGAAGCCCAACAGCUAAGCCUACGAAGAUCUGGCCCAGACCCAGCAAUUUUGAGCCCAGCCCAGAUUCAGUUGAAAACACCAGAAUCAAGUACAUCAACAACAACAAGAGGUACAAAAC
RNAcentral lists this unclassified non-coding RNA (349 nucleotides) under Hevea brasiliensis (rubber tree). The record is from RNAcentral. Lineage: Eukaryota; Viridiplantae; Streptophyta; Magnoliopsida; Malpighiales; Euphorbiaceae.